UUAAGUUCAGCGGGUAGUCCUACCUGAUCCGAGGUCAACCAUUGUGCCGCCGGAGCGGGCUUGUCGGGGGGGUUUAGAGGCAGGAGACCUGCGGGCUCCCGAUGCGAGGCUUAUGCUACUACGCAAAGGAGAGGGCCACGCGGGACCGCCACUGAUUUUAGGGGCCUACCGGUGCGGUAGAUCCCCAACGCCGGGCCACG
This 200-nucleotide unclassified non-coding RNA is filed under the name Hypocreales sp. RNAcentral's name for it is "partial internal transcribed spacer 2". The record is from RNAcentral. Lineage: Eukaryota; Fungi; Ascomycota; Sordariomycetes; Hypocreales.